RNAcentral lists this ribosomal RNA (223 nucleotides) under uncultured bacterium. Its description in RNAcentral is "partial 16S rRNA". It matches the Rfam family "Bacterial small subunit ribosomal RNA", at positions 959 to 1183 of the family's 1533-position model. The record is from RNAcentral.
ACGCGAAGAACCUUACCUAGACUUGACAUCUCCUGCAUUACCCUUAAUCGGGGAAGUUCCUUCGGGGACAGGAAGACAGGUGGUGCAUGGUUGUCGUCAGCUCGUGUCGUGAGAUGUUGGGUUAAGUCCCGCAACGAGCGCAACCCCUGUCGUUAGUUGCCAGCAUUCAGUUGGGGACUCUAACGAGACUGCCAGUGACAAACUGGAGGAAGGUGGGGAUGAC